This 524-nucleotide ribosomal RNA is filed under the name uncultured bacterium. Its description in RNAcentral is "bacterial SSU rRNA". It matches the Rfam family "Bacterial small subunit ribosomal RNA", at positions 28 to 531 of the family's 1533-position model. The record is from RNAcentral.
GGCUAACGCUGGCGGCGUGUCUUAGCCAUGCAAGUCGAGCGGACUUAUGGGGUAACUUAUAAGUCAGCGGCGGACGGCGGAGUAACACGUAGCUAACCUACCCUCUGGACGGGGAUAACCUACCGAAAGGUGGGCUAAUACCCGAUGCAGUCAUCCUGUAUAGGGGUGAUGAAAGGUGGGCUUCUGUUUACAAGCUCAUGCUGGAGGAGGGGGCUGCGGCCUAUCAGGUAGUUGGUAGGGUAAUAGCCUACCAAGCCGAUGACGGGUAGCCGGCCUGAGAGGGUGACCGGCCCGAGGGGCACUGAGAUACGGGUCCCACUCCUACGGGAGGCAGCAGGCUAGAAAUUUGGGCAAUGGGGGAAACCCUGACCCAGUGACGCCGCGUGCAGGAAGGAGCCCUUCGGGGUGUAAACUGCUGUCGUGUAGGGAGAAGGGUACUAAGGUGAACAAUCUUAGUACUUGACGGUACUACAGGAGGAAGCCCAGGCUAACCUCGUGCCAGCAGCCGCGGUAAAUAGCGUACU